This 410-nucleotide ribosomal RNA is filed under the name uncultured bacterium. Its description in RNAcentral is "partial 16S ribosomal RNA". It matches the Rfam family "Bacterial small subunit ribosomal RNA", at positions 355 to 781 of the family's 1533-position model. The record is from RNAcentral.
UGGGGAAUAUUGGACAAUGGGGGCAACCCUGAUCCAGCAAUGCCGCGUGUGUGAAGAAGGUUUUCGGAUUGUAAAGCACUUUCGACGGGGACGAUGAUGACGGUACCCGUAGAAGAAGCCCCGGCUAACUUCGUGCCAGCAGCCGCGGUAAUACGAAGGGGGCUAGCGUUGCUCGGAAUGACUGGGCGUAAAGGGCGUGUAGGCGGUUUGUACAGUCAGAUGUGAAAUCCCCGGGCUUAACCUGGGAGCUGCAUUUGAUACGUGCAGACUAGAGUGUGAGAGAGGGUUGUGGAAUUCCCAGUGUAGAGGUGAAAUUCGUAGAUAUUGGGAAGAACACCGGUGGCGAAGGCGGCAACCUGGCUCAUAACUGACGCUGAGGCGCGAAAGCGUGGGGGAGCAAACAGGAUUAG